CAAAUCCUUACCUCAUUUCUUCUUUGUUAGCUAAUCUCUUUCUCCCUUUCUAUUAUAUCAUUACUCUUUUACUUACUACAAUCAAGACAACUAGUGUGAAAACCUUGAUUAAAGAGUUAAGUUGAAGGUGACUAUGAUUAAGAAGAUUGAAGCAUGGAUGUGGAUUGUGGUGGUGAUAUUUCAAAAGGAUUAGAAAAGUUUAAAUCCAGUUUUUCUUUGUUUUAGAACAAAGUAUUUCUAUGUUAAAUUCUAAAAUUAUGUAUAAAAGAUAUAAAGUUUGUCUUUUGGGAAUUUUAUGCAAGUUUUAUGAAAGUUUGAUUCUCGGAUAAUAUCUGGGUGUCACAUGUCGAACCGGUGAUAAUGUAGGUUCAGCAUUGGGAUUACAGGGUUCUGAACACGGUUCGAAUGAUCUAGCAUGUAUAGGAUGAGAAACUAAUGCAUUUCUCCUUGAAUAAACCUUUAGUGGACACGGAGAAGUCAGAUGUUUUUCCCUGUGUAUCACUUUUAGAGAAUCCUGUGGAAUAUCGUGAGGAGAAGACGAAGAAUGAUUUGAGGAAGAAUAGGGAGAAACAAUUCCCUAUUCAUUUCUUCUAUAUAAGAAUUUAGUCUCCCCCUUAGGAUAAGAAUCAUUGAAAUAGGAAUUCUCUUUCACAAAACUUACAUGAACUGAGAGAAAAAACCGUUUAGAUGGAGAAUGAAAACACUUAUAACUCUUUUGAGUGGAGGAGUAUCCAACAAAGAUGUGGGCUCUAGGAUCCAAUUUCUCUCUAUUAGGUGAGUGAUUAUGAACAAAACUCACACAACUGAAUACUUUAGGACAAAGACCAUUAGAAAGCAUGAAAUCUGGAAAAGCUUUAGAAAGUAGCUGAAUUGGGCUGUUUGAAUCAAGACUUCUAGAGGACAUCCUAUUGAUGAGAUAGGUUGUUGUCAAGGCUGCUUCUCCUCAAUAAUGUUUAGGAACAUUAUUGUGAAAUAGCAAAGCCCUUGUAACAGCAAAUAAAUGCACAUUUUUUCUCUCAACUACCCCAUUUUGUUGAGAGGUAUAGACACAAGAAUACUCAUGGAUUAUACCCUUUUGAUGGAAAAAAUUAGACAGGGUUUGGUUGAAUUUUUUUUUGGCAUUAUAUGUUCUGACCCUUUUAAUUUCAACCCCAAAUUGGGUCUUAAUCAUGAAAAAAUUGGAAAAGAUGGUACACACUUAUGAUUUAGCCUUUAAAAGAUAAAGUCAAACCAUAUGUGUGCAAUCAUCCAUGAACAAAACAAACCAUCGGCCCCGUAUAGAUCAAGAAUUGGGGAUGAACCCCAUAUGUCACUGUGAAUUAGAUCAAAAGGGAGAGAACUUCUCUUAUUAAUGAGAGGGAAAUGAAGCCUUUAUAUGCUUAGCAAGCUAACAUACAUCACAUUGGAAGUCUCUAGCAUCUAAUCUCUUGAACAAAGAGGGAAACAUGAACUAAAGGACUCUAAAAGAGGGGUGUCCUAGCCAAAAAUGAUGAAGCCAAAUUAAGUCUUUAUUAGGUUUAACAAAAAGUCAUACAUGGAAAAACUUUCCUCUUUUAAGUUGUCCACUAGGGUUUUCAAGAUGAUAGAGACCAUUCUCUACCCUAGCACGCCCAAUCAUCUUUCUCGAGUCAUUUUCUUGAAAUUCACAAAAGGAAUGAUUGAAGAUAACACGUCAAUUAGCAUCACGGGUUAGUUUUUGAAUGGAAACUAAAUUAGUGAACAACUUAGUAACAUGCAGGACAUCCCUUAAGAUUAGAUGGUGAUUAAUGAGUAUAUCCCCUUGUCUAGCCACUAUUGUCAAUGAUCUAUCGGCCAAUAAUAUUUUCCUUGUACUAGGGAAGGGUUUGUAGGAUAAAAAUUUGGUAGAAGAAGGUGUCAUAUGGUCUGUAGCCCCAGAAUCAAGGAUCCAAGUAUUUCUUAGGGAUAAGUCUGAAGCAUGAAAGUUAAAAAAAGUGGAAGUCAUACCUGUGAAGGCUAGGUUAGAAGUACUUGCCCCUAGCACCUCAACAGACUUCUCAAUUUUUCUAUUUCUUCUCAAUUAAGCUCCUUUGAAUUAGACUAAUCUGGACCCUUAUCCUCCUCACUCUGUUGGCCACAUAGGCUUUACCUUUGGAUUGUCCUCUUUUAGCUGGCUUGUCAUGAAGCUUCCAGUAUUUGUCCACCGUGUGUCUAGAUUUCUUGCAGUAGGUGCACCACAAAUUAUCAUUGGUUGUGGUUCUUACUAAGUCCAAAGUCUUCCUUUCUUAUCUUGCCAUUCUCUCCUUACCGAGUCCUUUCAAAGUUAGCAGGGAUGAGCUCUCCAUAGGGCUUGCCUCCUACUCCUCUUCUGCCCACACUAUUGAGAUUGCUUCAUUUAACGAAUGCAACUCAGACUUGCCAAGGAUUUGGACCCUAACAACAUCAUAUUCUACAUUGAGUCCUGUAAGAAAAUCGUAGGUUCUCUCAUUUUCAACAAAUUUCUUUUGGAAAACAGCAUCCUUAUUGCACUUCAUUUGAAUACACUGAUAGUGAUCCAAUUCUUGCCACAAGGUUUGCAAAAGAUUUGCACACUUGGUUAUAGACCGAGUCCCUUGUUUAGUGGCUGCUACCUUGGUCCUAAUUUCAUAGAUUUGAGCAGCAUCAUUUACCUUAGAAUAUGUGAUCUUCACAGCUUCCCAGAUCUCUUUAGUUGUGGAAAGAAACAUCAUAAUGUCACUGAUCUCUGGAAUCAUUGAGUUCCAGAGCUAGGACAUCACAAGAGUCUUCCUCAUCCCAAGAGGCAUAUGUAGGAUCACUUUCCUGUGGCCCUAUUCCAAGCAAGUGACUUAACUUCCCCUUACCUUUCAGAAAUAUCUCUGGAAUCAUUGAGUUCCAGAGCUAGGACAUCACAAGAGUCUUCCUCAUCCCAAGAGGCAUAUGUAGGAUCACUUUCCUGUGGCCCUAUUCCAAGCAAGUGACUUAACUUCCCCUUACCUUUCAGAAAUGUCUUAAUUAGCUGAGACUACUUAAGGUAGUUCUUCCCAUUCAAUCGGUAUGCCGCUUGGACAUUUUGUAACUCACCAUUGGAAAUCACCCCACCACUGGAAUUACCUGUGACAAGAGCUUCAUUGGUGCUACCGAAUUCUAUGGUUUCGAACAAAUCUCAAGUUUUAUGAAAGAAGAUUGGAUCAAAGAAGGUUUUUGGCCACAAACACUCGAGAAUAGAACCUAGGGCUCUGAUACCAUAUCAAAAGAGACGAAAAACAAUCCAAUCUAAUUCAUUCUAAGGCUCAAAUAAUAUAUACAUGCUUAUCAUUAGAAUAGGAAAUUUCCUAAGCCUAAUUAGGAAUAUUCCUAAUUAGAUAGUUUCCUAAAUUAGCUUAGGAAAUCUAUACAGAAAAAGAAAGACUUUACAACUGUAAAUUACAAUCAAAUCAAUAGAAGACAAUCAAAUCAAUCAGCGCCAAUUAGCACACACUCACAAUACAGACCAGAUUAGGAAAGAACCAUAUUAGGAAAGCAAGGAUCUACUCGUUUUCUAACAAGACCUUUGAAAUCCACCUUCCGCAGUAAAUCCAUCAGAACUGCACUAUGUUUUCCUUAUUCUUUUGUAAAUUUUGUUCCAGCAAGAAAAUGGUGUGGAUCCUUUGAACUGCUCUCUGCUCUCCACUAUCCAAUGUAAUGCGAAAUUUUAUGCUGGUGGCGACCAAGUAACUGUCUAAAUUAUGCUCAUUAAAUGAGCUCUUUAUCCAAACAAUUUAACUACUUAUUACCAAAUAAGCUCUUAUAGUGUAUAAACUUUAUAGAUUAAAAGCUCCUAUGAUUGAAGCUAAACCAAACAGGCUCUAAAUUUUUGGAUCCUAAAGUGCACGUGACUUGCACACUGCAUGCACAUCAUGUGAGUUGAACUAUUCAUCUUCAUCCUCAUCCAUAGAAAUUAGAUGUAGUCUAUCCUUGUCUUCAAGCUCAAUAGAAGAGACCAACAGCCUGUACACAAAGUGGGUGAUAUGCUACAUGAUAUGUAUUACUUGAACAUUGGAUGCAAGCUCCAUAAGACACACUGCAGAUGCUACAUAAAACCUUCUAGUGGUCCUUAUGGAUUCCACUCAACACGUCAAUUGGCUCUAUUCUUUUGACAUCAAAUAAGCAUGUCUCUAGUAUCAAGCAAGAUGAGAUCAAACCCAAUAAGUUACAGGCUUCAUAGUGCCUCUUAUAACAGCAAAAAGGCAAGAGGGUGGGGGUUUGCUUUUAGUUCUAGGCAUUUUGAAAAUCAAGCACUUUGGUUCAAUUCAUUUAUUUCUAAAAUCCUAAGUUUACGCACACCUAGUAAUUAUAAGACUGGAAACAUCUUAAUCGAAGAGGUUACUGAAGAAUUGAGUGUUCAAAAAGGAUGUGAGGGCAUCUUUCAGUCCAAUUAAGAAGGAUUUUGAGUGUUGGAGAUGAGGUGCACCAUUAAGGGAGGGCCAGCUUGAAUUGGGUAACAAGCUUAAUAGGUGAUAUUAUUCAUUUAUGAUUAGAGUUAUUCAUCACCAAUUAACUGUUUAUCCCCAGUGCAAAAUAAUGUUCCCUACUACAACAUUGUGAACUAUUUCUUGCUAUUGAAUUUUUCGAUCCAAAAGUACAAAUGGCUUGCAUGUUACAUGCAGAUCAUAUGCAUACUGCAUCUUGAAGUGCGAACACAUAAAAGGAUCAGAUGACAAUUCACAGAAAGUCUGACAUUUUUAAUAGCUGAGAAGUACAAGGCUUAGCAAUGAGGGAAAUUUUCUUGGUAGUAUGAUUGGUAAUGUAGUAAUCCAAGUACAAUGUACAGGAGAUGCACAAUAAUAAGCUAGCAUAACCCUAGAAACUUUUUAAUGUAAGAGGUUACUAGGGAAGAAAGUCAAAGUCUAUAUUCACUUCAAAAAAACUUCUAGACUCUUCUUGACUUAAUACUGAUGAGCAAAGCUGAAAUGAAAACAGACAAUCAAGAAGCUAAUAGCAAAGAAGUUCACUAUUCACCUUCUGAAUAUCUAUUGCUUGAGGUAGGUUUACCUUCAGAAAAUGACAAAAAAGGUUGUACUAUGUCCUCACAAAAGCUUUGGACAAUAAACCACUGAAUGUUUUCCCUGUCUCCAAGUGGAAGUGCUCUAGAUAAGGGUUGUCCUAAAAGGCAUGCCUAGAGAGAACAAACACAUUCAUUCAAGAGGUUACACUGAGUGGUGAUGCUAUAUCGAAUAAGACAUCUAAUGGGGCAAGCAAUUCAGAAGUAAAUGCACAGAGACAAUUGAGGAUAAAGGCUACUCUUGGAACUGUUGUUGAGGAAAAGGCUUCCAAGCAUAAGUCAGGGCUAGAGUGACUCAACAACAAAUCCAUUGAAAGAAAAUUAGGCCAGAAGGUACAUCGAAGAGAAGGAGACAAAACUUCUUGAGACAAAGAAGAUGAUUAGAAGCAUGGGAGGGGAAAAGCUACUUUAAAGAAGAUUGUGACAAAGUUCUCCACUGUUGAUAGUGAGAUCCUUCGCCAAAGCCUUUUGAAAAAUUAAUUAAAGAUGAAAGCCACUUAAAGGAAACAACCCCAAGCCGAGUUCCAGGAGAAAACACAAACCAAGGUGAGAGAAAACAUUUGAUACCAUAGGGUAUGGAGAUAAUUUGGUUGGUUCAAAGGUUAAGGUUUGGUGGCCAAAAAAUGUGUAAAAAAUAUGUAGUUAUUCACUUUUGAAUAUUCCAUUUGAGUGUAUAGUUUGUUAUAAUUUUAUUUAUAGGGUAUUUCUUUUCCUUGUUUGGUAGUUUCUAAGUCAUAACUGACUCGUAUGAAACAGUUACAUUUGUACCAUAUAUAUUGCUCUAUGAAUUUCGAAUGAAAGGAAGUUGAUUUUCUAUCAAAUUCUACAUGGUAUCAGAGUAGUCCUAAUACUGAUAUGUUCAUUCCAAAUCUGCAUCUGAUAAUUUCGGUUUGUUCUUCUCAAUUAUGUACCCGAUUCCAUUUCUAUUCCACUGAGCAUUUGGAUUCUGUUUCUCUUUUGUUUUUUCAUUUACAAUGGCUUUUACUGUUGAAGUUUCUUCUUCCUCUCAAAUUCCCUCAAUUCUGACCCCAACAGAAGGAUCUGAUUCCUCUGCUCUUCUUAUUACCGAACAUAAACUGUGUAACAUCCCGCAUCGAGUGAUAGAAAGAAUUGGAACAACUUUCUUUGAUGGGCCCACACGAACUUCUCAGGGGUCACCCAUCCUUGAGCUUCCCUAGCUCAAGCACGUUUAACCCGGGAGUUCUUUGCCUACAUUCAAACCAAAAGUGGUCUCAUUCAGUUAUGAUGUUCAUUUGUGGCUGAGGAAAGGAUGAUUAUCUUAUUGGUGUUGCCCCUAAACCGAAGACCGAUGAUCCAAUGUACAAGGUGUGGAAGACAGAGACCAAUAUGGUCAUGUCAUGGCUUAUCAACUUCAUGACGAAUGACGUCAAUGAAAACUUUAUUCUCUAUGAGACGACACAAGAAAUCUGGACAGCCUCCAAAGAGACAUACUUUGACACAGAAGAUGCAACAGAAACCUUCAAAAUUGAAGGAAUAUUCCAUGAUAUUUGUCAAGGGGAUCUCACCCUCACCCAAUAUUUUAGUCGACUGACAAGAUAUUGGCAACAACUUGAUAUGCAUGAGACAAUAGCAUGGGAAUGUCAAACUUAUGCUGGAAAAUACAAGAAGAUUGUUGAGAAGAAGUGAAUAAGUUUUUGCUGGGUCUCAACAAGAAUUUAGAUGAAGUCCAGGGGUGGAUUUUAGCCAUCAAACCUCUACCAAAUUUGCCUGAAGUUGCCUCAGAAGUGCGACAUGAAGAAAGUAGAAAGCCGUGUACAAGAAAUAGAGAUAGUUAGGUAGUUAAGUAGACUAUAGGGACAAUUUUUUCACUCAUUAUACAAUUAUUUAUUUUUUAAGUGGCAGUUUUUUAUGUGUAACUACUACCAUAUGAGCAGUUACCAUUUGUGUAUAAAUUUGUCCAAUCCAAAUAAUAAAAUGAGAAGUUUAAAAUCCAAACUUCUUCAAGAUGGACCUAAAACAAAAUCAAACCAACAAAAACCUCACAUGCUAGCAUAAUUCCUUUUAGAGACUACUCACCACUCUAGACAGUAUUAACUCAAAAUGCACCUAAAGGAUUGAAGUCAAGGGGUUGGAAAUACACUAAUCCAUGUCUUCUUCAGCUUCUCCUUGCCUUGUCUUUGAUAGUUUAAAGGCUGUCCU
Diospyros lotus (date-plum) is the source of this 7159-nucleotide long non-coding RNA. RefSeq lists it as uncharacterized. The transcript has 3 exons. NCBI's taxonomy places the organism in Eukaryota, Viridiplantae, Streptophyta, Magnoliopsida, Ericales, Ebenaceae. The record is from RefSeq and is a predicted model, not a curated record.